AAAUAACGAUACUUUCAGAUACAUACUUCAUGUUGCAAAUUUAUCAUCAUACGUCAAUCAUGUUUCAGCAACUUGAUCAAACAAUGAAUGAAGAAUUAGUUGAUAUCACAAUGAUGUAAUUUCUCCUUCACCUGAAGGUCCACAUGAAGCACAUUUUCUUUACCUAAUCUAUUACAUCCCAUCUUCCUACAAAAAAAUGGAAGUGAUUGUACAAAUUUAUCUGUUACUCAUGUAUAAUGGCUUGUCCUAUUUGUCACCAGACUACUCCACUAAAUAUUGAGCUUCACAAUAGUCCCAACAAUCAUCCUAAAUGAUUUUACCAUCUUCCUCUCCAACAAUUGUGUGGAGCUGCCAAAGUUGUGGACUUCAAAAAAAUACAUUGAACAUGAGCAUUGAUGGAAAGGGAACAGUUGCAACAUGAUCACGAUCUAACCUUGUGGCGCAAAAUCUCUUUCACCCUUUGCCAACUCCUUUGGUGUCUCCCUCCUUUCUCCCAGCUUCAUCGCCUCCCUCCUUCCUCAUCCCCCAUCUUUCUCCUUCCCUUGUCGCGUCAUCUCCCUUGGUGUCUAUCAUUCAUACCCCCCAACUUGCUACCAUUAUUUCCUCCUACCUUCCAUAACACCUAGCAUAGUCUGUGUUGCUGCAUACUGUUGAACAAGAAAAAACAAAAAAAAUCGUAGAGCACCUUUGUGAAGAGUGAGAAACUACAACAAUUAGGAGUCACCUUUGCCCUACUGAAAGAUAUUUUAUGUUAAUGUCAAGCAAAAUAGCCGGAAAACGUACACAGAAAAUUGAUAAGUUCAAAGGCAAAAAACACCAUUAUUUGAAGUUCACCAUCAUUUGGAAAUCUACUUUGAACUUUAGCAAGUCUAUGGAAACUUGACCAUGGAUGCAUUAUAAUGUUUCUUGGGUGUACUUUAUCCAUGCUAGUUGGCUGAUAAAUUUACAUAAACAUUUUUGUCCUGUGAAAGCCAUUUUGUAAUUGCUCCAACUAAAGCGGGAAAAAAGACAAGAGUUAAAGAAUUCACCAAUAGGAGAUCUUAUUGAUAUUUCUUAUUCCCUUAUAGAUCAUAAACACAUGUAGAUCAACUACAUACAAUUCAAAGGUUUUUCAUUUAAAGUGGAGGUCGAGGCACACACACCUAUACUCAAUCAACAUGACUGAUGGUGCUCCUAGAUUAUUGCCACAAUAUCAGUGAGCUCCUUUAGGUAGCCGAAGAAAGCAACCUAAAUGGAAAAGGAGGUCCAUUUAAUACAAAUGAAGUAGCACAAAUCAUCAUAAGUAUAAUGUGCAACCAACCGUAAAUUAACUUUUUCUAAUGACCAAAGUUGUACAACAAGUUAAGCUCAUACCUGUUUUUAUUGAUUUUGAACUGAAAAUCAAAUUACCCAUCUGCUCCGCCGCACGCACCCUCACCACAUCUACCACGGACUGCCCUCUAGGAUAGGCUAACAAAGGUCCUGGUGAUGCCAAACAUGACCUGCCGCCGCCGGAGCCGACAGGCAGCAUAUAGUUGCACUGCCAGAAGUCGUUGGC
This 1537-nucleotide long non-coding RNA is filed under the name Hordeum vulgare. Its description in RNAcentral is "long non-coding RNA (HVUL_LNC001150)". Lineage: Eukaryota; Viridiplantae; Streptophyta; Magnoliopsida; Poales; Poaceae. The record is from RNAcentral.